RNAcentral lists this ribosomal RNA (253 nucleotides) under uncultured bacterium. RNAcentral describes it as "partial 16S ribosomal RNA". It matches the Rfam family "Bacterial small subunit ribosomal RNA", at positions 524 to 776 of the family's 1533-position model. The record is from RNAcentral.
UACGGAGGGUGCAAGCGUUGUCCGGAAUUACUGGGUGUAAAGGGCGUGUAGGCGGGACUGCAAGUCAGAUGUGAAAUUCCCAGGCUCAACCUGGGGGCUGCAUCUGAAACUGUGGUUCUUGAGUGCUGGAGAGGAAAGCGGAAUUCCUAGUGUAGCGGUGAAAUGCGUAGAUAUUAGGAGGAACACCAGUGGCGAAGGCGGCUUUCUGGACAGUAACUGACGCUGAGGCGCGAAAGCGUGGGGAGCUAACAGG